UUUCCGUAGGUGAACCUGCGGAAGGAUCAUUAUUGUAUAACCGAGGUGCGAGGGCUGUCGCUGACCCGAAAGGUCGUGCACGCCCGAGUGCCCUCACACACAUCCAUCUCACCCCUAUGUGCACCACCGCGUGGGUCCCCCUUUGGCUUGUUCGGAGGUGGGCUUACGUUUUCACACAAACUUUGUAUGCAGUGUAGAAUGUAUUUUUUGUUUUUGCGAUCACGCAAUCAAUACAACUUUCAACAACGGAUCUCUUGGCUCUC
Molecule: unclassified non-coding RNA, 263 nt
Filed under: plant metagenome
Description: partial contains small subunit ribosomal RNA, internal transcribed spacer 1, and 5.8S ribosomal RNA
Source: RNAcentral